GACGAACGCUGGCGGCGUGCUUAACACAUGCAAGUCGAACGGAAAGGCCGUGCUUUGGUGGGGUGCUCGAGUGGCGAACGGGUGAGUAACACGUGAGUAACCUGCCCUUGACUUUGGGAUAACUUCAGGAAACUUGGGCUCAUACCGGGUAGGAGCUCCUGCUGCAUGGUGGGGGUUGGAAAGUUUCGGCGGUUGGGGAUGGACUCGCGGCUUAUCAGCUUGUUGGUGGGGUAGUGGCUUACCAAGGCUUUGACGGGUAGCAGGCCUGAGAGGGUGACCGGCCACAUUGGGACUGAGAUACGGCACAGACUCCUACGGGAGGCAGCAGUGGGGAAUAUUGCACAAUGGGCGGAAGCCUGAUGCAGCAACGCCGCGUGCGGGAUGACGGCCUUCGGGUUGGAAACCGAUUUCGCCUGUGAUGAAGCGUUAGUGACGGUAAUGGGUAAAGAAGCACCGGCUAACUACGUG
Molecule: ribosomal RNA, 468 nt
Filed under: uncultured bacterium
Lineage: Bacteria
Description: partial 16S ribosomal RNA
Rfam family: Bacterial small subunit ribosomal RNA
Source: RNAcentral